AAGACAACAGCUGGAUAAGUUUAAAAAGGAGGACGAAAACAGAGCUUUCAGUUCAAUAUCUCUGGAUCGAAGAGAAGUCAAUUUAUUCAGAGCUCAUUCAUCGGAUGAAUACGGCGUACGCAAGUUACAGACCUGGUGGUUGGGGACAAUGGUCUUCAUGGAGUCGAUGCAGUGUGAUAUGUGGUACAGGAAUUCGUAGAAGAACACGGAAUUGUGAUAAUCCUCCACCCGGAUCAAAAGGUAGAUGUGAAGGAACCAGCCAAAACACUGAAAAAUGCAGAAGAUGUGGGUUAGGUAACGAAGAUUGUGAGUCUGACGGACGGUGCAACAAUGUGUGCAGGCAGCCUGACCACAGGUAGCCCAAGCUGGCUAUCAGUUGGUACAUUAUAGAGAAUGUAUGGGAAUAAACAACACUCGAAACGUUUUAAUCUAAAGUUAAAUAAAACGCACUAAACGUUCU
This 460-nucleotide unclassified non-coding RNA is filed under the name Exaiptasia diaphana. RNAcentral's name for it is "ectin, transcript variant X2". The record is from RNAcentral. Lineage: Eukaryota; Metazoa; Cnidaria; Anthozoa; Actiniaria; Aiptasiidae.